This 193-nucleotide non-coding RNA is filed under the name Sus scrofa (pig). Lineage: Eukaryota; Metazoa; Chordata; Mammalia; Artiodactyla; Suidae. The record is from RNAcentral.
GCAUGGUGCUACCGGCAGCCAUGCAGGCCAAUUUAAGGUUCUCGCUCAGGAGCCACAUCUCUAGCUGCUUGACUCUGGAAGUAAGAGAUGAAUUUCAAGUAGUCCUGGUCCCCUCCUUCAUGCCAACCCUGAAUCUAGUUAGGAAGAUUCUGGAGGCAAUGCAUCUCACAAGUGACCGUAGAUGUGUGUACAA